RNAcentral lists this ribosomal RNA (1528 nucleotides) under Lactiplantibacillus plantarum subsp. plantarum. RNAcentral describes it as "Lactobacillus plantarum subsp. plantarum partial 16S ribosomal RNA". It matches the Rfam family "Bacterial small subunit ribosomal RNA". Lineage: Bacteria; Bacillati; Bacillota; Bacilli; Lactobacillales; Lactobacillaceae. The record is from RNAcentral.
AGAGUUUGAUCCUGGCUCAGGACGAACGCUGGCGGCGUGCCUAAUACAUGCAAGUCGAACGAACUCUGGUAUUGAUUGGUGCUUGCAUCAUGAUUUACAUUUGAGUGAGUGGCGAACUGGUGAGUAACACGUGGGAAACCUGCCCAGAAGCGGGGGAUAACACCUGGAAACAGAUGCUAAUACCGCAUAACAACUUGGACCGCAUGGUCCGAGUUCGAAAGAUGGCUUCGGCUAUCACUUUUGGAUGGUCCCGCGGCGUAUUAGCUAGAUGGUGGGGUAACGGCUCACCAUGGCAAUGAUACGUAGCCGACCUGAGAGGGUAAUCGGCCACAUUGGGACUGAGACACGGCCCAAACUCCUACGGGAGGCAGCAGUAGGGAAUCUUCCACAAUGGACGAAAGUCUGAUGGAGCAACGCCGCGUGAGUGAAGAAGGGUUUCGGCUCGUAAAACUCUGUUGUUAAAGAAGAACAUAUCUGAGAGUAACUGUUCAGGUAUUGACGGUAUUUAACCAGAAAGCCACGGCUAACUACGUGCCAGCAGCCGCGGUAAUACGUAGGUGGCAAGCGUUGUCCGGAUUUAUUGGGCGUAAAGCGAGCGCAGGCGGUUUUUUAAGUCUGAUGUGAAAGCCUUCGGCUCAACCGAAGAAGUGCAUCGGAAACUGGGAAACUUGAGUGCAGAAGAGGACAGUGGAACUCCAUGUGUAGCGGUGAAAUGCGUAGAUAUAUGGAAGAACACCAGUGGCGAAGGCGGCUGUCUGGUCUGUAACUGACGCUGAGGCUCGAAAGUAUGGGUAGCAAACAGGAUUAGAUACCCUGGUAGUCCAUACCGUAAACGAUGAAUGCUAAGUGUUGGAGGGUUUCCGCCCUUCAGUGCUGCAGCUAACGCAUUAAGCAUUCCGCCUGGGGAGUACGGCCGCAAGGCUGAAACUCAAAGGAAUUGACGGGGGCCCGCACAAGCGGUGGAGCAUGUGGUUUAAUUCGAAGCUACGCGAAGAACCUUACCAGGUCUUGACAUACUAUGCAAAUCUAAGAGAUUAGACGUUCCCUUCGGGGACAUGGAUACAGGUGGUGCAUGGUUGUCGUCAGCUCGUGUCGUGAGAUGUUGGGUUAAGUCCCGCAACGAGCGCAACCCUUAUUAUCAGUUGCCAGCAUUAAGUUGGGCACUCUGGUGAGACUGCCGGUGACAAACCGGAGGAAGGUGGGGAUGACGUCAAAUCAUCAUGCCCCUUAUGACCUGGGCUACACACGUGCUACAAUGGAUGGUACAACGAGUUGCGAACUCGCGAGAGUAAGCUAAUCCCUUAAAGCCAUUCUCAGUUCGGAUUGUAGGCUGCAACUCGCCUACAUGAAGUCGGAAUCGCUAGUAAUCGCGGAUCAGCAUGCCGCGGUGAAUACGUUCCCGGGCCUUGUACACACCGCCCGUCACACCAUGAGAGUUUGUAACACCCAAAGUCGGUGGGGUAACCUUUUAGGAACCAGCCGCCUAAGGUGGGACAGAUGAUUAGGGUGAAGUCGUAACAAGGUAACC